GAGGGUGUAGCUCAAGUGGUAGAGCGCAUGCUUAGCAUGCACAAGGUCCUGGGUUCAAUCCCCAGUACCUCCU
Molecule: transfer RNA, 73 nt
Organism: Camelus ferus (Wild Bactrian camel)
Lineage: Eukaryota; Metazoa; Chordata; Mammalia; Artiodactyla; Camelidae
Rfam family: tRNA
About the family: Transfer RNA (tRNA) molecules are approximately 80 nucleotides in length. Their secondary structure includes four short double-helical elements and three loops (D, anti-codon, and T loops). Further hydrogen bonds mediate the characteristic L-shaped molecular structure. tRNAs have two regions of fundamental functional importance: the anti-codon, which is responsible for specific mRNA codon recognition, and the 3' end, to which the tRNAs corresponding amino acid is attached (by aminoacyl-tRNA synthetases). tRNAs cope with the degeneracy of the genetic code in two manners: having more than one tRNA (with a specific anti-codon) for a particular amino acid; and 'wobble' base-pairing, i.e. permitting non-standard base-pairing at the 3rd anti-codon position.
Source: Rfam